This 298-nucleotide ribosomal RNA is filed under the name Phyllomorpha laciniata (golden egg bug). Its description in RNAcentral is "partial small subunit ribosomal RNA". It matches the Rfam family "Eukaryotic small subunit ribosomal RNA", at positions 274 to 569 of the family's 1831-position model. The record is from RNAcentral. Lineage: Eukaryota; Metazoa; Arthropoda; Insecta; Hemiptera; Coreidae.
CGGUCACAGUACCGGUGACGUAUCCUUCAAAUGUCUGACUUAUCAGCUGUCGAUGGUAGACUCUGUGUCUACCAUGGCGCUCACGGGUGACGGGGAAUCAGGGUUCGAUUCCGGAGAGGGAGCCUGAGAAACGGCUACCACAUCCAAGGAAGGCAGCAGGCACGCAAAUUACCCACUCCCGGCACGGGGAGGUAGUGACAAAAAAUAACGAUACGGGACUCAUCCGAGGCCCCGUAAUCGGAAUGAGAACACCCUAAAUCCUUUAACGAGGAUCCAUUGGAGGGCAAGUCUGGUGCCA